GAUGAAGAACGUAGUGAAAUGCGAUACGUAGUGUGAAUUGCAGAAUUCCGUGAACCAUCAAAUCUUUGAACGCAUAUUGCGCUCGAGGCUUCGGCCGAGAGCAUGUCUGCCUCAGCGUCGGUAUUACCCCUCGCUUCUCAACCCCUGGUUGAUGCCUGCCUGCCUUUGCAGUUGGCUAGAAGCGGAUCUGGCUUUCCCAAUUGCCUUUGGUAGUUGGGUCAGCUGAAGCACAGAGGCUUGAGCAAGGACCCUUAUUGGGCUUCAACUGGAUAGGUAGAACUGGUCUUAGGACCAACUACACGAAGUUGUUGCUCGUGGUCUUUUGUCUGGAGGCCAGCAGGAAACCUUUAUACCUUCGACCUGAGCUCAGGCAAGAUUACCCGCUGAACUUAAGCAUAUCAAUAAGCGGAGGA
Molecule: unclassified non-coding RNA, 413 nt
Filed under: soil metagenome
Description: partial contains 5.8S ribosomal RNA, internal transcribed spacer 2, and large subunit ribosomal RNA
Rfam family: 5.8S ribosomal RNA (bases 1-120)
Source: RNAcentral